RNAcentral lists this ribosomal RNA (383 nucleotides) under uncultured eukaryote. RNAcentral describes it as "partial 18S ribosomal RNA". It matches the Rfam family "Eukaryotic small subunit ribosomal RNA", at positions 592 to 976 of the family's 1831-position model. The record is from RNAcentral.
CAAUAGCGUAUAUUAAAGUUGUUGCAGUUAAAAAGCUCGUAGUUGGAUUUCUGGUGGGAGCGAUCGGUCUGGCGCUUAGCGCGAGUACUUGCAUCGUCUCCGGCCAUCCUUGGGGAAAGUCUGUCUGGCAUUAAGUUGUCGGGCAGAGGAUCCUCAUCGUUUACUGUGAAAAAAUUAGAGUGUUCAAAGCAGGCUUAUGCCGUUGAAUAUAUUAGCAUGGAAUAAUAAGAUAGGACUUUGGUACUAUUUUGUUGGUUGGCGCACCAAAGUAAUGAUUAAUAGGGACAGUUGGGGGUAUUCGUAUUCCGUUGUCAGAGGUGAAAUUCUUGGAUUUACGGAAGACGAACUACUGCGAAAGCAUUUACCAAGGAUGUUUUCAUUAA